GGUGCCAUCGUUUAGUGGAUAAGACGCGGUCCUGCGAAGACCGAGACACAGGUUCGACUCCUGUUGGUGCCA
RNAcentral lists this transfer RNA (72 nucleotides) under bacterium. RNAcentral describes it as "tRNA-Arg". It matches the Rfam family "tRNA". From Rfam's summary of the family: Transfer RNA (tRNA) molecules are approximately 80 nucleotides in length. The record is from RNAcentral.